This 465-nucleotide ribosomal RNA is filed under the name uncultured bacterium. RNAcentral's name for it is "partial 16S ribosomal RNA". It matches the Rfam family "Bacterial small subunit ribosomal RNA", at positions 28 to 507 of the family's 1533-position model. The record is from RNAcentral.
GAUGAACGCUGGCGGCGUGCUUAACACAUGCAAGUCGAACGGAAAGGCUCCUGCUUGCAGGGGUACUCGAGUGGCGAACGGGUGAGUAACACGUGGGUGAUCUGCCCUGCACUUCGGGAUAAGCCUGGGAAACUGGGUCUAAUACCGGAUAGGACGAUGGUUUGGAUGCCAUUGUGGAAAGUUUUUCGGUGUGGGAUGAGCUCGCGGCCUAUCAGCUUGUUGGUGGGGUAAUGGCCUACCAAGGCGUCGACGGGUAGCCGGCCUGAGAGGGUGUACGGCCACGUUGGGACUGAGAUACGGCCCAGACUCCUACGGGAGGCAGCAGUGGGGAAUAUUGCACAAUGGGCGCAAGCCUGAUGCAGCGACGCCGCGUGGGGGAUGACGGCCUUCGGGUUGUAAACUCCUUUCGCUAGGGACGAAGCGCAAGUGACGGUACCUGGAGAAGAAGCACCGGCUAACUACGUG